Molecule: transfer RNA, 72 nt
Filed under: Cricetulus griseus (Chinese hamster)
Lineage: Eukaryota; Metazoa; Chordata; Mammalia; Rodentia; Cricetidae
Rfam family: tRNA
About the family: Transfer RNA (tRNA) molecules are approximately 80 nucleotides in length. Their secondary structure includes four short double-helical elements and three loops (D, anti-codon, and T loops).
Source: Rfam by way of RNAcentral
GGUGAUAUUGCUUAGUGGUAGAGUAUUUGCAUAACGUGCAUGAAGUCCAGGGUUCAAUUCCCAGUACCAUCA